AAGUCGUAACAAGGUUACCGUAGGUGAACCUGCGGUAGGAUCAUUAACAAAUCAUGUGGGGCCCCUCGGGGCUCUAUUAGUUCCGGCGGCGAUGCGCUGUGGCGUUCGCUGCUGUGUUCAACCCGUGCUCUGCACAAGUAUGUAAGUGUGACCGAAAAAGUAUGGUGGGAACAACAAAACAACUUUCAACAAUGGAUCUCUGGGCUCUU
This 209-nucleotide unclassified non-coding RNA is filed under the name fungal sp. Its description in RNAcentral is "partial internal transcribed spacer region". The stretch from base 1 to 46 matches the Rfam family "Eukaryotic small subunit ribosomal RNA", at positions 1786 to 1831 of the family's 1831-position model. Lineage: Eukaryota; Fungi. The record is from RNAcentral.